GACCAGACUCCUACGGGAGGCAGCAGUGGGGAAUAUUGCACAAUGGGGGAAACCCUGAUGCAGCGACGCCGCGUGAGUGAAGAAGUAUUUCGGUAUGUAAAGCUCUAUCAGCAGGGAAGAUAAUGACGGUACCUGAGUAAGAAGCCCCGGCUAACUACGUGCCAGCAGCCGCGGUAAUACGUAGGGGGCAAGCGUUAUCCGGAUUUACUGGGUGUAAAGGGAGCGUAGACGGCAUGGCAAGUCUGAAGUGAAAGCCCGGGGCUCAACCGCGGGACUGCUUUGGAAACUGUGCAGCUAGAGUGCAGGAGAGGUAAGUGGAAUUCCUAGUGUAGCGGUGAAAUGCGUAGAUAUUAGGAGGAACACCAGUGGCGAAGGCGGCUUACUGGACUGUAACUGGCGUUGAGGCUCGAAAGCGUGGGGAGCAAACAGGAUUAGAUACCCCAGUA
RNAcentral lists this ribosomal RNA (446 nucleotides) under uncultured bacterium. Its description in RNAcentral is "bacterial SSU rRNA". It matches the Rfam family "Bacterial small subunit ribosomal RNA", at positions 329 to 792 of the family's 1533-position model. The record is from RNAcentral.